AUACGGAGGAUGCAAGCGUUAUCCGGAUUUAUUGGGUUUAAAGGGUGCGUAGGCGGUUUGCUAAGCGGGAGGUGAAAUGCCGGCGCUCAACGUCGGAAGUGCCUCCCGAACUGGUGGACUGGAAUGACUCUGCCGUGGGAGGAAUGUGUAGUGUAGCGGUGAAAUGCUUAGAGAUUACACAGAACACCGAUUGCGAAGGCAUCUCACGAAGGGUUGAGUGACGCUGAGGCACGAAAGCGUGGGGAUCAAACAGGAUUAGAUACCCUGGUAGUCCACGCAGUAAACGAUGAUGACUAACUGCCGGCCCGUUGCGGGUCGGUGGCCAAGCGAAAGCGAUAAGUCAUCCACCUGGGGAGUACGACCGCAAGGUUUAAACUCAAAGGAAUUGACGGGG
This 394-nucleotide ribosomal RNA is filed under the name uncultured bacterium. RNAcentral describes it as "partial 16S ribosomal RNA". It matches the Rfam family "Bacterial small subunit ribosomal RNA", at positions 523 to 918 of the family's 1533-position model. The record is from RNAcentral.